This is a long non-coding RNA of Dicentrarchus labrax (European seabass), 318 nucleotides long. RefSeq lists it as uncharacterized. The record is from RefSeq and is a predicted model, not a curated record. NCBI's taxonomy places the organism in Eukaryota, Metazoa, Chordata, Actinopteri, Moronidae. The transcript has 3 exons.
GACAGAGAAAGAGAGAGAGGUAUUUGGGGUUUGUCUUUUCACAGGAGCUCUGGGGGUCAUCCUGCCAGUGACCGUUGCGCGCCGGUCAGGCAUGGGAAGGCGUCGCCACGAGCCUGAAGCUCAGUGGCUCUACCGGGCUUCGAGGUCACCGUCGUGUCCCCGAAACCCCCCCAGAGCUGAAGCUAAAGCCUGAGACAAGUCCUAUCUAUACUACUUUAUGACAGCAUAAUGACAUCACUGGUGACACGGAGUAGUAGUGGGCGGAGUUUGGAGGCUGAGAGGUUAUUGCCCUGAAUUUAUCCCUCCAUGAUGACAGAC